This 904-nucleotide long non-coding RNA is filed under the name Cicer arietinum (chickpea). RNAcentral describes it as "long non-coding RNA (CARI_LNC002641)". The record is from RNAcentral. Lineage: Eukaryota; Viridiplantae; Streptophyta; Magnoliopsida; Fabales; Fabaceae.
UUCAAUAUUAUUGAUAGAAGGGAGGACAGUAUUAUUGAUAGAAGGGAGGAUGGUACAAAUCAUCUUGAUUAACCUUUUCUAUUAACUUUGAAUAAUCAAUCUUCAAGCCACGCCUGAUGAUGGUUGCGUUUUUAUAAUUCCCAUCAUAAUUCCCAAUAGACAAAGUUUGAUUGUCAUAUAAUUCAACCCUAUAUGCUUCUUCUUCUAUGAGCUGCCUUGCUUCCUUCAUGAGCUGCCUCAUCCUGUUCUGAAAAAGCAUCAUAUAUGUGAGUGACUAAACAAAUUUCAAAUUCUCAGAAUGAAUUCUAAAAAUAGAAAUUAAUAAAGAAUUCAAAUAUUGUGAAACUUGAAUCAAAAGCAGUUGAACUUGCCUCGUAUGAUUCGUAUGAUUCUUCGCCGAAACAUAUUCUUCUACUUUGAGCUGACUUAUCUAAAGUUAAUACAUCAAACAUCAUCAUAAUAAAACAAUACAAGAAAAAAGAAUUGCAUUUACAUAAUAAAACGUGAAAGAAAAAAGAAUUGCAUAUUCACAUGGUUAUAAAAUCUAAAUGUAGAUAAUUAAUACAAUAUUCAGCAAUGUAAUUGUUUGGUUGCACAUUGUAACGUAAAAACCGUACCAAACAAAUAAAUUACUAAGAAUGACUUUUACAAACAAAACUAAAGAAUAAAAAAAUAAAAAUAAAAGAGGAAAUUAGGGUUUUACACAUUUGCGAUGUCGUGCAGUGUAGAGAAAAAGAGAAGGGAAUCUGAAAAGAAAUAUAAAGAUUAGAUAACCACCACAAUUAUGUGAAGAAGAAAACUAACCAGAGAAGAUAUCAGAAAAUCAUACGAAUGGAAUCAAGAAUGUGAGGUUUGGGAAUGAAUCAUCGUAAUUUAAUUAAAUGAACGUGGGUGUUCGGUGUGG